Long non-coding RNA from Myotis davidii, 139 nucleotides. RefSeq lists it as uncharacterized. The transcript has 3 exons. NCBI's taxonomy places the organism in Eukaryota, Metazoa, Chordata, Mammalia, Chiroptera, Vespertilionidae. The record is from RefSeq and is a predicted model, not a curated record.
UGGCGAACCUGACGCUAAACCAUUCGUAGACGACCUCCUUCUGGGUCGGGGUUUCCUAUGUAGCAGAGCAGCUCCCUCACUGCGAUCUAUUGAAAGUCAGCCCUCAACACAAAGGUUUCUCUCUCUCUCUCUCUCUCUC